RNAcentral lists this ribosomal RNA (423 nucleotides) under uncultured bacterium. RNAcentral's name for it is "bacterial SSU rRNA". It matches the Rfam family "Bacterial small subunit ribosomal RNA", at positions 207 to 622 of the family's 1533-position model. The record is from RNAcentral.
AAGACCUUGCGCUUUUGGAGCGGCCGAUGUCUGAUUAGCUAGUUGGUGGGGUAAUGGCCUACCAAAGCUUCGAUCAGUAGCUGGUCUGAGAGGACGGCCAGCCACACUGGGACUGAGACACGGCCCAGACUCCUACGGGAGGCAGCAGUGGGGAAUUUUGGACAAUGGGCGCAAGCCUGAUCCGGCCAUGCCGCGUGAGUGAAGAAGGCCUUCGGGUUGUAAAGCUCUUUCAGCCGGGAAGAAAAGGUUGCGAUUAAUAAUCGCAAUUGAUGACGGUACCGGAAGAAGAAGCACCGGCUAACUACGUGCCAGCAGCCGCGGUAAUACGUAGGGUGCGAGCGUUAAUCGGAAUUACUGGGCGUAAAGGGUGCGCAGGCGGUUUUGUAAGUCAGAUGUGAAAUCCCCGGGCUUAACCUGGGAACU